GACGAACGCUGGCGGCGUGCUUAACACAUGCAAGUCGAACGGAAAGGCCCUGCUUUUGUGGGGUGCUCGAGUGGCGAACGGGUGAGUAACACGUGAGUAACCUGCCCUUGACUUUGGGAUAACUUCAGGAAACUGGGUCUAAUACCGGAUAGGAGCUCCUGCUGCAUGGUGGGGGUUGGAAAGUUUCGGCGGUUGGGGAUGGACUCGCGGCUUAUCAGCUUGUUGGUGGGGUAGUGGCUUACCAAGGCUUUGACGGGUAGCCAGCCUGAGAGGGUGACCGGCCACAUUGGGACUGAGAUACGGCCCAGACUCCUACGGGAGGCAGCAGUGGGGAAUAUUGCACAAUGGGCGGAAGCCUGAUGCAGCAACGCCGCGUGCGGGAUGACGGCCUUCGGGUUGUAAACCGCUUUCGCCUGUGACGAAGCGUGAGUGACGGUAAUGGGUAAAGAAGCACCGGCUAACUACGUG
This 468-nucleotide ribosomal RNA is filed under the name uncultured bacterium. Its description in RNAcentral is "partial 16S ribosomal RNA". It matches the Rfam family "Bacterial small subunit ribosomal RNA", at positions 28 to 507 of the family's 1533-position model. The record is from RNAcentral.